UCCGGCUUAUCACCGGCAGUUUCUUUAGAGUGCCCAACUGAAUGAUGGCAACUAAAGACGAGGGUUGCGCUCGUUGCGGGACUUAACCCAACAUCUCACGACACGAGCUGACGACAGCCAUGCACCACCUGUGCAGGCUCCGAAGAGCGCCCGCUUUCACGGGUUUCACCCUGCAUGUCAAACCCAGGUAAGGUUCUUCGCGUCGCAUCGAAUUAAACCACAUGCUCCGCUGCUUGUGCGGGUCCCCGUCAAUUCCUUUGAGUUUUAACCUUGCGGCCGUACUCCCCAGGCGGAUAACUUAAUGCGUUAGCUGCGCCACCAAAAGCCUAAGGCCCCUGACAGCUAGUUAUCAUCGUUUACGGCGUGGACUAC
This 372-nucleotide unclassified non-coding RNA is filed under the name uncultured bacterium. RNAcentral's name for it is "contains 16S-23S intergenic spacer region". The record is from RNAcentral.